Helianthus annuus (common sunflower) is the source of this 717-nucleotide long non-coding RNA. RefSeq lists it as uncharacterized. The record is from RefSeq and is a predicted model, not a curated record. NCBI's taxonomy places the organism in Eukaryota, Viridiplantae, Streptophyta, Magnoliopsida, Asterales, Asteraceae. The transcript has 3 exons.
GAGAACGAGCAGGAGCAAGGGGGAAACCCUUCUCCUUCAACUACUUACAAGAACUCAAGAAUUAAACCUGAUUUUGGGGAGAAAUCGGAUGCAUGAGCUUAUAUUCCUAAUCAUCUAGACAAGAUGAACAUGUGAAUUGGAAUCACACGAGCAUGGGCCAAGCAUGGAAGGUUAACGGGUCAAGAUGAGGCAAGGAAGCGGUUACGAACACGGAUGCACAAGUGUAACGCAGGUACAACGAGGAAGUCUCACCACGGAAUGUAUAAUCAGAUAGAAAGCUGGGAUGUGACGAGAUAAUGAAAUGAAUAGUCAGUUGGUAUGUAAUGCAGGAAUGAGUACAUUGAAUUCCAAUGAAAAUUCAAGCCGAAUCCGGAACAAGGGAAUGCGAAGGGAUAGUUGAAUGAACUAAUGUCACAUUAUCGAAUGUUAUUCAAUUUUUAAUUAUAUGAGAUUAAUGUUAUAUGAUGUUGUCGUAGACUAAUGGUUAAGUUGUAUGUGAUGCCCAUAGGUGCUACUCGGACUUCUCCUGCUACUAAGGAUGUGAAGCGGAUGUAGAUCGAGUCAAGAGCAAGAAUUGUACGGAAAGAUCGGUCACAUAGUUGAAGUAUAUAACAUCUAGAAGUCUGAAUUUUUGUACGAACGUUGUGAAUUCUUUUUAUAGAACGUUUGACUUUUGAGAAAUUGGAACCUUCAUGUAAGUAAUGUUGUUGAUAAAGA